AGGAAGCAGCAGCCUCCGCUCCGCGGCGGGUGUGCUCGGCAGUCACAGACCCACUCAGGACACCUCCCGUUGCCGACGGGCUAGACCUGCAUCCGAAGGGCCUAAGCGGGGAGGAACCGCUUUCCACCACUCUCCAGGGACCUGGGGAGGGAAUGUUUAGGCCGUAGGGGUGGAGGACACAGGAAACGUAACAUUUUUCCUUAACUGCGCCUCUCUUCUUAGGCCUUAAAGGGGUCCCCGUGUCUCUCCAGUCUAGAGCCUAAGUUCAAACGAGGCGUAUAGGCGAGGACAGCAGGAAGGCUCCAAGUCAAACAAACGGAUGGUACGAAUUUCGCCUGGUCUAGCCCUGCCCCAACGGUGUGGGUGUGGGUUGGGUGCUGCAGCCCCCGAGCAAGGGGCUGUCACAGCCACAACCAGAGGAGCUAUGGAGCUGCUACGGAGGAGGGAUUCCAGAGUCAGCUUGGGCUUGUCCCAAGGGAGCCCUUGGGACAGUGUCUGGGGCUGCGCGGCCUGGUUCUCAUCCCUUGCAGCAUCUGCUAUUUUAGCCAGGGGCCACCUUCCUCCAAUGGCCUGGGAGUAGCUAGAGGUUAGAGGUUACACCCACCAGAAGGGAUGUAAGCCCAGGAAGUAGUCAGAAAGGAAAGGUCAUUCUAGAGAUGGGGCCACCUGAAAAACCUUCAGGAGGAAGGAGAAAGGAAAUGGGAUAAGUGUCAUGUCAUACUAAAUAUUUAUUUUCUGCAGACUGACUUCGGAGUAAUUCUUGAGCCAGGAGGGGAGAGGUUAGUGUUCAAAUUGCUGAGAUCUUAGGUCAAAAAGCUACAGAAAAGAAAUCACUUUGAAAAACACAAUGACUCAGAGGCAGUCACCCCUUGCCAGCAAUUCCAAGAGCUGAGGAGGCUUCAUGCCUCAGGACAUGGUGACUAGUUGAGUGAACCAGAGAUUGAGGCAGUGGUUUUUACAGGGGAAGAAACAAGCCUUGGGUGUAUGGGAGCAGGAAAGGAGGGUGACAGACUGGAGAAAUGAUAAAGGCCAUUUUGGAAGCCCACAGGGAAGUGGUCUUGGGAAACCUGAAGACACUGGGAUAUUCAGAAGGCCAAGGGGAUCCAGCUUAUCCUGUUGGGCAAGGUGCUGGGAGUGAAGGCAGGAACUACCAAAGCCACGGAUCAGCUGAGUUACCCGGGCUAAUAGCAGGAGGAAACAGUGUCAGAGAGGGAUCUGGCUGAUCUUCAACUCCACUAAGUUCUCCCCAAGGUAUAGCCAUCCUUAUCAUCAAACCCUCUUUUCUGGUAUUCUCUCAAUCCAGUCUUUCAUACUCUAUUCCCCCACCAUGUAAUCUGCAUCCUUUCAUUUUUCUUUUCCACUUCCCUUACCACUGAUCCCAUCAUUACCAUAUUUUCCUCAUACCUUCUUCCCCUCGAAGUCGCUCAGCCUGUCCACGCUCAAUCAAAGCCUCAGCCUCCUUCACAAAUGCCACUAAACCCCCAAAAGGGGGAGACAGCAACUCUUCAAUGAAUUCCUGGAAAGACACAAACACAUAUACACAGGUGUCCUGGUGUCAGCAGAUUUGCCCAAUUCUGGCAUCAUGACUAAUGUAGAUCCAUCUGAAUGGCAUCUUUCAGCUGCUGCAAAAGUUAAGGAAAAUCCUCUAUGGAGAAAAAUAUCCUCAAUCCUAAUUUUGGCCCAUACAGUUCCCCUGGUUAAGAUCAAACAAUGAACUCAAAGAUCACUAGACACAAAAGAAGGGCAGCUACCAAGAGAGUCAGCAGACACAAUAAGCAAUAGCUGCUGACCUUAAGAACUAUCCGAUACGGAUAGCAGUUGUACUGUGUGCAAUGUCUAAAGUUAAGGAUAGGCCGGGCACAGUGGCUCACGCCUGUAAUCCCAGCACUUUGGGAGGCUGAGGUGGGCAGAUCACCUGAGGUCAGGAGUUCAAGACCAGCCUGGCCAACAUGAUGAAACCCCAUCUCUACUAAAAAUACAAAAAUUAGCUGGGCAUGAUGGUGGAUGCCUAUAAUCCCAGCUACUCGGGAGACUGAGGCAAGAGAAUCACUUGAACUUGGGAGGCGGAGGUUGCAGUGAGCAGAGAUCAUGCCACUGCACUCCAGCCUGGAUGACAGAGCAAGACUCCGUCUCAAAAAAAAAAAAAAAAAAAAAGGAUGUAAAAAUGACCAAUUAGUAAGAACUAUGAGGAAUGAACAGACUUGAAAAAAGGAAAUUUUUUUAGAUAUGAAAAGCCAGUUUUAGAAAGUCAACAGAUUAACAAGAAUUAUACAAUGAAUUAGAAUUUAUAACUGAAGAAAGGACUCAGAAUGUAGCACAGACAGAAGAUGGAAAAUUUUGAGAUAGUAGGAGAUACAGAAAUCUAAUUAAUGUAUCUAGGCACUGAAAUUGAUGGCUACUAACAUCACAAAGAGAGCCAAGAAGACAUUAUGUGCUUCCUGAUGGAAAUACAUACCACUACCUCUCAAAUAUCCCUGUAGAAAAAAAAAAACUAAUUUAAAUCUGACCAAGCCUUUCCAUCUAAUUACACACUUAUGAGAAAUACACCAGACAGAGGAAGUUUGGCCACACCAUGGAAUGCAGUCAGCAAAAUCUAAACUGUACAUCAUUCUAGAUGACAAAUGACUCAAUAACUCAGUUUCUUCCAAAAAUAAAUUGCAGAGGAGAUGGAAGGGAAAUCUAUAGACUAAAAAAAGACACAUAUAUGGACUUUAUAUGGAUCCUGAUUUGAACCAUAAAAAUCAUUUAUGAAGGCCAGGCACAGUGGCUCAUGCCUGUAAUCCCAGCAUUUUGGGAGGCUGAGGCGGGUAGAUCACCUGAGGUCAGGAGUUUGAGACCAGCCUGGCCAACAUGGUGAAAUCCUGUCUCUACUAAAAAUACAAAAAUUAGCUGGGCGUGGUGGUGGGUGUCUAUAAUCCCAGCUACUCAGGAGACUGAGGCAGGAGAAUUGCUUGAACCCGGGAGGCAGAUGUUGGAGUGUGCCAAGAUCGGGCCAUUGCACUCCAGCCUGGAGGCAACAAGAGUGAAACUGUGUCUCAAAAAAAAAAAAAAAAAAAUCACUUAUGAAAUAACUGGGAAAAUCUGAAUAGUUAUUUUAGAUAAGAUAAUUUUUUUAAGUGUGAUAAUGUAUUGUAGUUUUUAAAACCAUCUGUUACCAGGUGUGGUGGCACACACCUGUAGUCCCAGUUACUUAGGAGGCUGAGGUGGGAGGAUCACUUGAGCCCAGGAGUUCGAGGCUGCAGGGAGUUAUAUCAUGCUACUACACUCCAGCCUGGGCACUACAGCAAGGCCCUAUCUCAAAAAUAAUUUUCUUAAUAAAAAUAACAUUCUGAUACAGAUGAAGUGAUAAUAUUCAUCUGUAUAUGUAUAAGAUUUAAUUCAAAGUAACUGGGGGACACAGAAGGAGGAUAAGCAAUAGGUGUUGGUAUAGAUGAAACAAAACUGUCCGUGAACUGCUAUACACCGAAUAUCACUGAUGAUGCCUGGGGGUUCACUAUGCUUUUCUAAUAGCAUAGUGAAAUUUCCCAUAAUAAAAUGUUAAUUUUUGUUUAAUGUAAAAGGGAGAUUCAAACAAAAAAACUCAUAAAAGCAAACAACCCAGACAGAAAGAUCUGGUAAGAAGAAAGUGAAAUUAUUAUUCCAUUUAAAAAUAAAUUAUUAAUACUAAAAUUAGCCAGGUGUGGUGGUGCAUGCCUGUAACCCCAGCUACUCAGGGAGACUGAAGCAGAAGAAUCACUUGAACCGGGAGGCAGAGGUUGUAGUGAGCCAAGAUCAUGUCACUGCACUCCAGCCUGGGCGACAGAGCAGCAACUUGUCUCAGUAAAUAAAUAAAUAAAUAAAUAAAUAAAAAUUGUAUCUUUUCUAUUCUUCCCUCAAAAUAUUCACUUAUAUCCACUGAGGGUGUCAAAUAACUAAUAUGCUGCAAGGAAGGAUCUUUCUAUAAUCAAGGCAUCUUUGUGAUGUGAUUUUGGACAGAGAUUAAAUAACCAAAUUCAACCUAUUACAGUUGCCUAAAUGCAGUCUCACACACACAUAUACAAACAAUAAUGUAGCAGUGUACGGUGGGGCACAGGGAGUAGACUUGCCAAAGAAAAGUUGAACUAACAGUGAUGACCCCUGCUAGGCAGGAGCCAUAAAUUAUAUAAUGUGUUGUAAGCAUGAUAUAUACACCUGAUUUUGAAGACUUCAUCUUAGAAUAAAUUUUAAGUAUAUCUUUUUUUUCUUUUUUUUUUUCGGAAACAGGGUCUUGCUCCAUCACCCACGCUGGAGUGCAGUGGCACAAUCACAGCUCACUACAACCUCAACUUUCCUGGCUCAGUGAUUAUCCCACCUCAGCCUCCUGAGUAGCUGGGACUAACAGGCAUGUGCCAACAUGUCCCACUCAUUUUUUUUUUAUUUUUUGUAGAGAUGGGGUUUCACCAUGUUGUCCAGGCUGGUCUCAAACUCCUGGGCUCAAGCGAUCCUCCCUGCCUUGGCCUGUGCUGGGAUUACAGGUGUGAGCCACCGUGCUGGCCUCAGUACUAUUUUUUAUUGAUUAUAUGUUGAAAUAAUAAUAUUUUGGAUGUAGUGGUUUAAAAAAUUAUUUCAUCUGUUUCUCCUUACUUUUUAAUGUAGCUUCUAGAAAAUUUAAAAUUAUUUAAGUGG
Molecule: long non-coding RNA, 4644 nt
Filed under: Homo sapiens (human)
Lineage: Eukaryota; Metazoa; Chordata; Mammalia; Primates; Hominidae
Description: HSALNT0333802
Source: RNAcentral